GCCCACCCCCCAGCUGGAAGACGCCCCGGGUUUCCGAGGGUACCAUGGGCUGCAGGCUGCUCUGCGGCCUGGCCCUUUGUCUCCUGGGAGCAGGACCAGGAGACUCCGGGGUCACUCAAGACCCCAAGCACCUGAUCAAAGCGCAGGGGCAGCGGGCCGCGCUGCGAUGCGCCCCGGUCUCGGGACACCUCUACGUGUUCUGGUACCAGCAGCCGCCGCGGGGCCGGGGCCUGAAGUUCCUUCUGUCCUUCUACAGAGGGGAGCUGCGAGAGAAAGGAAACGGGACGGAGCGGCUGUCCGCCCAGCGGGUGGGCGAGUCGGGCUCCGAGCUCACCCUCAGCGCCCUGGAGCGGGGGGACUCGGCGCUGUUCCUCUGUGCCAGCAGCCAGGCACAGCUCCACACCACCGCCCGCCCGCGGCGCCAAAACCCAAAACCUCCUCCCCUGUGCGCCAGGGGCCCGGGAGGCCUCGCCCUCCCCGACUCUGCGGCAUCAGGACCUCCCUCCCCCCCCACCCCCCACCCGCUGGCUCCAGUGAGCUCGCUAAUGCAAGCAAAUGGCCCAGCAGAGAGCUGUCUAGGUGGCUGGCACUCGGUCUAA
This is a non-coding RNA of Perognathus longimembris pacificus (Pacific pocket mouse), 599 nucleotides long. NCBI's taxonomy places the organism in Eukaryota, Metazoa, Chordata, Mammalia, Rodentia, Heteromyidae. The record is from the annotation of a RefSeq genome assembly.